This is a long non-coding RNA of Ictalurus punctatus (channel catfish), 2744 nucleotides long. NCBI's taxonomy places the organism in Eukaryota, Metazoa, Chordata, Actinopteri, Siluriformes, Ictaluridae. The record is from Ensembl.
GAGUUAAGAGAUAAGGAAAUUCAUGUGGUUCAGUAACAUGCACCUUCAGAUAGCAUUCAUUGCAUAUGACAUAAUAGUGCAAGUAGUGAUGGAGUGGUACAUGGAUGAUUGUAUACAUCACAGAAGAUAAUGCUACGUGUAAAGUUGCAGAGUAUUUGUAGUUUCAUUGAAGUUGUGAAGUUCAAUGAAAGUUGACACCUGUUGAUAAAGAUCUUUAUGGCAUGAGGGACUUUUCUUUUUAGCUGUGCUCAUUGUUUUGUUUUGUUUUUCUUUGCUCUAUUACACAUAAUUACAUAUUUACUCUUGCUUUGCUUUUGGGGAAAUGAUUUUGCAAGCUGAUGUAAAUUACCGUUUACAUGCUUUAAGUGACAGGUGAGCCAGACGGGGCUGCAAAAACAUGUGUCGCAUUUCUAAGCACAGAAAAAAGAAAAGAAAAAAAAAAACCCCUUCUUUUUUAGACCACUAGGUGGAAGUAUAUCACAAAUAAAUAUAACACAAUCUUAGACUUUCUUGAAUAAUUUGAAGGAUACUUAAAUUGAUCUUACAAUAACAGCACUGCCUCAAUUAUUAUUAUUAUUAUUAUUAUUAUUAUUAUUAUUAUUAUUAUUAUUAUUGGUAGACAGUGUAUUUUUAUAUCUUCAUCUUUCAAAAUAUUAGUCUGCCUUUAUUAACAGCACCAAUGUAUGCUCCCUUUAUUAAUAUUUUCAGAAUGUGUUAUGACAGCCCCUUUAAGUAGGCACCCUUUAAAUAAAAUUCUAAGAUACAAAGUAGGUAGGUACUCUUUAAAUAAUGUGUUAUGAAGGCCUAAAGUAGGCAUACUUAAAUUAAAGUGUUAUGAAUGUGUUAUAAAGGCCCAAUAUAGGUAUUCAUUAAAUACACUGAAUGCGACUCUAUAAUGAAGGCCUAAAGUAGGUACCCUUUACAAAAAAAAGUGUUAUGAAUGUGUUAUAAAUGCCUAAUGUAGGCAGCCUUUAAAUAAAGUGUUAUAAAUGUGUCAUAAACCCCAAUAUAGGUACUCAUUAAAUACACUGAAUGCGACUCUAUAAUGAAGGCUUAAUUUAGCUAUGCUUCAAACUAUGUGUUAUGAAUGUGUUAUGAAGGCCAAACGUAGGCACAUAAAAUGCUUUGAACGUGAAAGGCCCAUUGCCUUUUUGAAUUCUUUAGAUAAAGUGUUAUGAAUGUACAGUAUACAGAGGGCCCAGGUUUGAAUCUUUUCAAAUGGGGUGUUAUGAACAUGUCACGAAGGCCCAAUGUCGGACACGUUUCAAACAAACAAAGUGUUCUAAAUGUUCCGAAAUCCAAAAAUCGUUUCAAUAAAGUGUUACGAAUGCCUUCUGAAGGCCCUGUGUACGUACAUGUUAAAUAACGUGUCACUCAGAGCUCUUAUGAAGGAACAUACAGGGAGCUUAAUGUAUUUUAAUAUGUAAAAUUGAACAUAUGAGGAAUGAACAUACUGAGCGUUCUCGGUGCAUUAUGGGUGAUACAGACCGUCCUCGCUAUGUUGUAUGUGAUGCUUGAAAAGAAAUCGUCUUGGAACCCGGUCUGGAAAUGUCUUACGACGUAGGAUCAGAUCACAGCAAGAAGGCUGACAUGAGUUUGUCCAGAAAGACAGAGAGAGGCAGAGAGAGAAAGCUGAAUGCUCCUUCCGGCGUGACCUAUUUCACUCUGAGAUUCUCGAAAUCCUCCACGAUAAUUGUUCCCAUCUGAACUAAAAAUGUCGAAAAUCUCUAAAUCCGUGCGAUUUGAUGCGACUGGGUGGAAAUGGGGGAAGAUUAGCAGCUUGCCAGUGCUAUUUUGGUUUAUCACAUAUUAAUUUGCAUGUCUCUAUUGACACUUAAUUACAGUAAUACCCACCUACACCAGGAAUUACCGCCGAUAACGCCAUCAAACAGACUCCGGUACUGUCAGAGGGAAAGGCUGAUAAUUAGCUGUGUUUAUGUGGAGGCACACACACAGCACUCAAAGUUGGAGCGUUUCUCAGAAAAGAUGGUGUGAGGGUGUGAGAAGGUGAAAACCUGCCGUGAGGUUGCGUUAUCAGACAGUAUUGGUGAGGUUUGAUGCUCAUUUACAUUUACAGUAGAACACGUAAAGGUCAACCUGAAAGGCAUAUAUGAGUCUGUGGUUUUCUGAUAUCAUGAUGACCUUUUAGCAAUGUUUAUCCUAUUAUAAUCACAUAAACCUUGUCUUUAAUGUAAUUUCAACGUGCAACAAUUUUCAUCUCCUUUGAAGGAAAAAAAAAAGGAAAUGUACCUGUAUUUUAUUUACAGUUUAUCUACACAAAAUAAAAUGAGUUAAUAACGAAAUGUGUGUGUAUCCUGGAACAAGACAGCGCUCCAAAACAUCAUUCAAAAUCAACAGAAAAACUUGAACUUGUAGUAAUAAUAAUAGAUAAUAAUAAACUUAACAUUCAUUAUUAAUAUUAACAUUCAUCUUCCAUAACACCUCAGCAGUGCUACAGGCUGAUUGCCUCCAUGCCACGCCGCAUUGAUGCAGUAAUUCGUGCAAAAGGACACGCGACCAAGUGUCGAGUGCAUAAAUGAACAUACUUUUCAGAAGGUCGACAUUUCUGUAUUAUAAAUUCUUUAUUCCAAUCUUCAUAACGCGGUUCCUGAGCAGUACAACCCGAACGUUUGCUUGUGCACAGCGCAUUUUAUGGAGGACAGCUUCCUGAACCUGCUGACAUGCUAGCUAACGUUUGCUAAGUUGCCUCAGGUUUUUUAAAAAUGUUUGUUUGUAUGUUGGUG